UGACGUAAGUUUCUUCUUCUCGAUUCACUCCGAAACUCAGUGUGGAUUCAACAUGGCAAACGACAACAACUUCGAGCAUCGCUUGACCGAAGUACAGAAAUACCGGCACCUCUAAGAUUCUAGCCAUGUAUAAUAUAAAAAAACAGCAUGUAAAGGCCAAUUCAUGGAGGGCGAUUUCAGAGACGCUGGGUUCCGACCCAAUCACUUGUUUGAAAAAGUGGGGUAAUGUUCGCGGCAAGUUCGUCAAUGCAAAAAAAGGAACGAGGGGCUGCAGUGGAGAUGCUGGUGGAAAGGCUACUUCAGAAAUGUUGCUGCAGCUUCCCUGGCUUGAUAGGCAUGGGAAGACGGAAAGCAACAUGCCAUCUUCACCAGAGAAUGAGGCACAAACGCCAGUGAAUGGGGACAGCACCAGGUUAUCUGCGCCCCAGCACUGCCGGUUCACCGGCCCCCAGCACAUCUCCCGCACUGAGCUGCAGUGAAGAAUGGGGAACCAUCUCCAUGCAUAACUUGGGAAACUCUAUCCUGGGCCCACCUCCAAGACCUACUUCAUUAGGUUGCCACAGAGCAGAAGCAGUAGUAGCAACAGGGGAGAAGGGAGAAAAGAGCUGCAGACUCAUAACCAACGUUCUCUAGUAAUUGUAAUAAGAAUACAUUUUACCCUAGGAGACCCAUUACAGGUGGAAACUAAUAAAGCUCUAUUUGCACGUAUGACUAGUAUUACUUGAGAACGUUGGUUAUUCAUUACCCCAAAAUGUCCGUUAAUCCAAUCUGCCACCUGUAAUAAUUUGUUUUCUUUUUCAAUAAAAUUGAAUGUUAUGAUGGAA
Long non-coding RNA from Salvelinus sp. IW2-2015, 824 nucleotides. RefSeq lists it as uncharacterized. NCBI's taxonomy places the organism in Eukaryota, Metazoa, Chordata, Actinopteri, Salmoniformes, Salmonidae. The record is from RefSeq and is a predicted model, not a curated record.